AAAUAAUAAAUUAAAGAUUUAACCCGUAUUGAAACGGUGGAUUAAUUAUAUUUUACUUUUUUAUUAAUGUUGAUUCAAAAACCCGUCCCUCCAAAUCCGUCUUGCCAGAAAGCUAUUUAUUUUGUUAAUAUUAAUUUUAUUAAUGAUAUGACUCUGAAUUAGAAUCUAAACAUUUUAGCUAAUAACAUAGGAGUGCACCAUAUUUAUUUAAUAGGAGAAUGUAUCAUAUAACCCGAAUGCACUUUUAUCCAAAUCCACCAAAAAUGUCUUGCAAAAAUACUAUAGAGAUAAGAAACGAUAGUCGAUUUUGAAAGGUAUAAGAUUAGUUAAAGAAUACAAAUUGAAAAGGUAUAUUACACUUUAUUCGAAUAUAGUAUCAAAACUUAUAUAACACAGAGAUUUGAUAAUUUUUUAAUUGAUGAAUACUUUUUUGUGCUAAUUUUUAUGUGAUUAAGAUUUAAUUGAUUUCGUAUAUAAAAUAUUAAAUUGACUUAUUUGUUUAUAAUUUGGUAACAAAUAGAUAUUUGAAUAUUCAAUAUAUUUUGCUUCAGUUUAAGAAAUUUUUGAUGAUCCGUCUUUAGAUCCAAUAAGCCCUAUAAUCUAGAUAUUAACCUGCGGUAUAUAUUUUAGUUAAACUAAAAUUUUUUAUUGUAAAGAUGAUUUAAAAAUAUUUGAUAUUAUUUUAUUUGAUUUUAAAUGUAUAGUAAACUGUGAAUUUUAUAUGUUUUGUUGAUAUUAUCUAUAUUGUUUAGUGUUUAAGAUUAUACACUUGUAGUUUGAUUGUUAAUUUAAGAGUUUCACCUGUAGUAUACCAUCUUGUAUUAAUAUCGAUCUAAACAUAGCAUAUAUAUACUAACAAAUAAAACUACACAAUUAAUUGAAAAUAUAU
RNAcentral lists this small RNA (889 nucleotides) under Arabidopsis thaliana (thale cress). RNAcentral's name for it is "ATSL170320". The record is from RNAcentral. Lineage: Eukaryota; Viridiplantae; Streptophyta; Magnoliopsida; Brassicales; Brassicaceae.